GACGAAUGCUGGCGGCGUGCUUAACACAUGCAAGUCGAACGGAAAGGCCCUGCUUGCCGGGUACUCGAGUGGCGAACGGGUGAGUAACACGUGGGUGAUCUGCCCUGCACUUCGGGAUAAGCCUGGGAAACUGGGUCUAAUACCGGCUAGGAGCCAUUUUUAGUGUGAUGGUUGGAUAGUUUUUUCGGUGUAGGCUGAUCCCGCGGCCUAUCAGCUUGUUGGUGGGGUAAUGGCCUACCAAGGCGGCGACGGGUAGCCGGCCUGAGAGGGUGGACGGCCACAUUGGGACUGAGAUACGGCCCAGACUCCUACGGGAGGCAGCAGUGGGGAAUAUUGCGCAAUGGGCGCAAGCCUGAUGCAGCGACGCCGCGUGGGGGAUGACGGCCUUCGGGUUGUAAACUCCUUUCGCUAGGGACGAAGCUUUUGUGACGGUACCUAGAUAAGAAGCACCGGCUAACUACGUG
Molecule: ribosomal RNA, 464 nt
Filed under: uncultured bacterium
Lineage: Bacteria
Description: partial 16S ribosomal RNA
Rfam family: Bacterial small subunit ribosomal RNA
Source: RNAcentral